GACGAACGCUGGCGGCGUGCUUAACACAUGCAAGUCGAACGGGGAUUAAGCUGGAAAGGUUUCGGCCCGGAAGGAUUAAUUCGAGUGGCGGACGGGUGAGUAACGCGUGAGCAACCUGUCCCAGACAGGGGGAUAACACUUGGAAACAGGUGCUAAUACCGCAUAAGACCACGGGGUCACAUGGCUCUGGGGUAAAAGGAGCAAUCCGGUUUGGGGUGGGCUCGCGUCCGAUUAGAUAGUUGGUGGGGUAACGGCCUACCAAGUCGACGAUCAGUAGCCGGACUGAGAGGUUGAACGGCCACAUUGGGACUGAGAUACGGCCCAG
RNAcentral lists this ribosomal RNA (325 nucleotides) under uncultured bacterium. Its description in RNAcentral is "bacterial SSU rRNA". It matches the Rfam family "Bacterial small subunit ribosomal RNA", at positions 28 to 334 of the family's 1533-position model. The record is from RNAcentral.